GUUUGGUCCUAGCCUUACCCUCAACUAUUACUUGACUUACACAUGCAAGUAUCCGCGCACCCGUGAAAACGCCCUCACCCCUCCAACAGGACGAGGAGCCGGUAUCAGGCACACACAUUUUGCCCAUAACACCUAGCCACGCCACACCCCCAAGGGUAUUCAGCAGUGAUAAACAUUGUCAAUUAGCGCCAGCUUGACUCAGUUAAAGUAAGUAGGGCCGGCUAAUUCGGUGCCAGCCGCCGCGGCUACCCCGCUUGGCUCAAGUUGAUGACUCCGGCGUUAAGCGUGAUUAAAGUUAGCCCCACACUAGAAUUGAACUCUAACCAAGUUGUGAAACACUUGCUACAGGGAAAUCCUCAGACGAAAGUUAUUCUAGCCCCUUGAACCCACGACAGUUGAGACACAAACUGGGAUCAGGUACCCCACUAUGCCCAACCGUAAAUUUAUUCACCACCACCCCCGCCAGGGAAUUACGAGCCCAAUCUUAAAACCCAAAGGACUUGACGGUGUCCCAUCCACCUAGAGGAGCCUGUUCUAUAAUCGACACCCCCCGAUAUACCCCACCACUUCUAGCAUACUCAGUCUGUAUACCUCCGUCGUAAGCUUACCAUGUGAACGCAAGUGAGCCCAAAGAUUCCAUAUCAACACGUCAGGUCAAGGUGCAACUAACGAAGCGGAAAGCAAUGGGCUACAAUUUCUACCAAUAGAACACACGAAAAACUGCAUGCAACACAGUCACGAAGGCGGAUUUAGUAGUAAAAAGAAAAUAGAGAGUUCUUUUUAACUAGGCACUGGGACGCGUACACACCGCCCGUCACCCUCCUCAAGUAUCCACACACUAGAGGAGGCAAGUCGUAACACGGUAAGCGUACUGGAAAGUGCUCUUGGAUCAACAAAAUGUAGCUUAUUAAAGCAUCCCGCUUACACCGAGAUAGAUGUCUGUGAACAGACCAUUUUGAGCCUAAAUACUAGCCCCACCAAUUACCAACCCCCCCAGUGCAAAUAAAACAUUUUCACCAUCAAGUAACGGCGAUUAAAAAAUGACUAAGAGCUAUAAAGAUAGUACCGCAAGGGAAACAUGAAAUAAAAAUGAAAAUCUAAAGCGCAAUAUAGCAAAGCUCAAACCUUGUACCUUUUGCAUCAUGGUCUAGCUAGUUCAACCAAGCAAAACGUACUUAAAGUUUGGCCCCCCGAAACUAAGCGAGCUACUUUAAAACAGCCCCCGGGCUAACCCGUCUCUGUAGCAAAAGAGUGGGAAGAUUUCAAAGUAGAGGUGACAGACCUAUCGAGCUUAGAGAUAGCUGGUUAUUCAGGAAAAGGAUUUUAGUCCGCCUUUAAGUUUUAUCACUACUACUAAAUACCAAAUAAACUUAAAAGCCAUUCAAAUAAGGUACAGCCUAUUUGAAUAAGGAAACAGCCUGCAAUACAGGGUAAUGAUUUUUUACACGUGACUAAGUCGGCCUAAAAGCAGCCAACUUCUAAAUAGCGUCCAAGCCUCAUCACACCUAUCAUUAAUUUCCCCAUUUAUACGCAACCCUCAAUCACUACUGAAUGACUCCAUACCUUAUGGAGGACACCAUGCUAGAACUAGUAACAAGAAGAUGACCCUUCUCCAAAAUGCAAACGUAAGCCAAAAUGAACACUCACCGGCACUUACCGCCACCUAAGCCCACAGUAUUAACUAACAAGAAAACUUUACCGCAUCAGGCGUUAACCUUACACCAGGGCAUUUCCGUGAAAGAUUAAAAAGGGGGGAAGGAACUCGGCAAAUAUUAGCCCCGCCUGUUUACCAAAAACAUCGCCUCUUGGCAAAAAUAUAAGAGGUCCAGCCUGCCCAGUGACAGAAGUUAAACGGCCGCGGUAUCCUAACCGUGCAAAGGUAGCACAAUCACUUGUUCUUUAAAUUAGGACCAGUAUGAAUGGCCACACGAGGGCUAUACUGUCUCCCCCCCUUAAUCAGUGAAACUGAUCUCCCCGUGAAGAAGCGGGGAUACAACUAUAAGACGAGAAGACCCCAUGGAGCUUAAAACUUGUACCACUGCCUCACUCAUACCAAUGCACCAAGGCAAGCAAUGACUACUAGUCUUUCGGCUGGGGCGGCCACGGAGAAAAACUAAACCUCCGCGAUGAAGGGGACACCCCUAAUCAAAGAGCAACCGCUCUAAUAAUCAACAAAUUGACAUUAUUGACC
Molecule: non-coding RNA, 2191 nt
Filed under: Plethodontohyla guentheri
Lineage: Eukaryota; Metazoa; Chordata; Amphibia; Anura; Microhylidae
Description: partial contains 12S ribosomal RNA, tRNA-Val, and 16S ribosomal RNA
Rfam family: Bacterial small subunit ribosomal RNA (bases 1-900)
Source: RNAcentral